UGGCCCUCGCCCCAAAGCUGGUGACAUCAGGACUGUCCUCUGACCCAGAGCAGCCCCGUAGGGGAGGAGGCACCUCCUGGCAGGGCUCCCCAUCCCUCUCAGGGAGCCUUGCCCAGGGGAGGACCUGUUCCACCCCUGCCUCAGCAUCAAGGAACUGCUCCUAGCAUCUGUGUCUCUCUAUUUGCAGCGAAGUGAAGGCAAUUUCGGAGGAAGAAAUAUUACAUCUCUUCAACGUGUGCUGCAGUGUCAUCUUCUGCGUUCCUCCAACCAGGGACCUGAACAUUUGCCUCUACAACAACGUAUGUACUGGGCAAUCUACUGAUUGACCCCAUGCCUCUGGGCUGCUGCUUGGAUUACUUGUGUCCAGAGAUCUAUAAAGAUGUUUGUGGGACAAGGGAGAAGCCUUGCUUGCCCUCACCCCUCUCACUCUUGCCUUGGGCUUGGCAAACACCCUGUGUUGUAGCCUGGUCUGAGUGCAGCAGCCUUGCAGGGUGCCCCUGUGCACAGAUCUGUGGGUAUCCUUCCUUGGCAGCCAGAGGGGUUCACAGCAGUCUCCUGGGUAUGAAAGGGAACCCUGAAAGACUCUUUCAGGUUCCUUCUUACUGCAGCCCCUUGGAAAAAACCUUGCCCCUUCUCAGAGGACAGACAUUGCCCUUGUAACCCUGGAGAAGAUCAUUGGGGACUAUGGUUUUGAUGAGAAGAAGUGGGCUGAGACUAUGCUGGAUGUGCUUCGGAGAAACCCUGGCACCUGGCUGAUGGAUGUGCCAGAGAUUCUGGGAUUCAUCCACGCCAACCUGAAGAUCCAGAGCACAUCAGUUCAGCAGAUCCUGCUCUCAGUGCUGGAUGUGCUGACCGUCCAGUUUCCCAGGGAUGUGCUGAGGAGUGUGUUGACCGACCUCCCACAGAAUGACAGCACUACCCUGGACAUACUGAAGAGUGUGCUGACCCUGCUGGAAGCAUCCAAGCGGAUCUGGGAUGAGCUCAGCAGUGUUCUACAGGACCAACAGCUGUGUGAGAUAUUGAGCAUCAGCACAGAGGAGUUGGGCCUCCUUCGCUUGACUGUGAGUUACUGGACAAGGCACCGUGCUCUCCUUCAGGGCACUCUCUCCCCAGCUCCCUGCCUCCCCCUGCCAUCCUGCAUAGGCCUGGGCGCAGAGGGAUGGUGGGGCCCUCCAAAGGCACUGCUACCUCAGGCCAGGCUAUGUCUCCCCAGUGCCCUGCCCUGA
RNAcentral lists this long non-coding RNA (1226 nucleotides) under Coturnix japonica (Japanese quail). RNAcentral's name for it is "lncRNA (ENSCJPG00005011039.1)". Lineage: Eukaryota; Metazoa; Chordata; Aves; Galliformes; Phasianidae. The record is from RNAcentral.